UGAACUUAAGCAUAUCAAUAAGCGGAGGAAAAGAAACUAACAAGGAUUCCCCUAGUAACUGCGAGUGAAGCGGGAAAAGCUCAAAUUUAAAAUCUGGCGGUCUCCGGCCGUCCGAGUUGUAAUCUAGAGAAGUGUUAUCCGCGCUGGACCGUGUACAAGUCUCCUGGAAUGGAGCGUCAUAGAGGGUGAGAAUCCCGUCUUUGACACGGACUGCCAGGGCUUUGUGAUGCGCUCUCAAAGAGUCGAGUUGUUUGGGAAUGCAGCUCAAAAUGGGUGGUAAAUUCCAUCUAAAGCUAAAUAUUGGCGAGAGACCGAUAGCGAACAAGUACCGUGAGGGAAAGAUGAAAAGAACUUUGGAAAGAGAGUUAAACAGUACGUGAAAUUGCUGAAAGGGAAACGCUUGAAGUCAGUCGCGUUGGCCGGGGAUCAACCUUGCUUUUGCUGGGCGUACUUUCCGGUUGACGGGUCAGCAUCAAUUUUGACCGUUGGAUAAAGUCCAGGGGAAUGUGGCAUCUUCGGAUGUGUUAUAGCCCUUGGUCGCAUACAACGGUUGGGAUUGAGGAACUCAGCACGCCGCAAGGCCGGGUACUUGUACCACGUUCGUGCUUAGGAUGCUGGCAUAAUGGCUUUAAUCGACCNGUCUUGAAACACGGACCAAGGAGUCUAACAUGCCUGCGAGUGUUUGGGUGGAAAACUCGGACGCGUAAUGAAAGUGAAAGUUGAGAUCCCUGUCGCGGGGAGCAUCGACGCCCGGACCAGACCUUUUGUGACGGAUCCGCGGUAGAGCAUGUAUGUUGGGACCCGAAAGAUGGUGAACUAUGCCUGAAUAGGGUGAAGCCAGAGGAAACUCUGGUGGAGGCUCGUAGCGAUUCUGACGUGCAAAUCGAUCGUCAAAUUUGGGUAUAGGGGCGAAAGACUAAUCGAACCAUCUAGUAGCUGGUUCCUGCCGAAGUUUCCCUCAGGAUAGCAGAAACUCAUUUCAGAUUUAUGUGGUAAAGCGAAUGAUUAGAGGCCUUGGGGUUGAAACAACCUUAACCUAUUCUCAAACUUUAAAUAUGUAAGAA
Molecule: ribosomal RNA, 1064 nt
Filed under: Hebeloma crustuliniforme
Lineage: Eukaryota; Fungi; Basidiomycota; Agaricomycetes; Agaricales; Hymenogastraceae
Description: LSU rRNA
Rfam family: Eukaryotic large subunit ribosomal RNA
Source: RNAcentral